GACGAACGCUGGCGGCGUGCCUAAUACAUGCAAGUCGAGCGAUGAAGACUGGUGCUUGUUCCAAUUUGCAGAGCAGCGAACGGGUGAGUAACGCGUGGGGAAUCUGCCUUUUAGCGGGGGACAACAUUUGGAAACGAAUGCUAAUACCGCAUAAUCACUUUAAACAUAAGUUUGAAGGUUUAAAGAUGCAAUUGCAUCACUCAAAGAUGAAUGCGCGUUGUAUUAGCUAGUUGGUGAGGUAAAGGCUCACCAAGGCGAUGAUACAUAGCCGACCUGAGAGGGUGAUCGGCCAACUUGGGACUGAGACACGGCCCAAACUCCUACGGGAGGCAGCAGUAGGGAAUCUUCGGCAAUGGACGAAAGUCUGACCGAGCAACGCCGCGUGAGUGAAGAAGGUUUUCGGAUCGUAAAACUCUGUUGGUAGAGAAGAACGUUGGUGAGAGUGGAAAGCUCAUCAAGUGACGGUAACUACCCAGAAAGGGACGGCUAACUACGUG
Molecule: ribosomal RNA, 497 nt
Filed under: uncultured bacterium
Lineage: Bacteria
Description: partial 16S ribosomal RNA
Rfam family: Bacterial small subunit ribosomal RNA
Source: RNAcentral